RNAcentral lists this ribosomal RNA (320 nucleotides) under uncultured eukaryote. RNAcentral's name for it is "partial 18S ribosomal RNA". It matches the Rfam family "Eukaryotic small subunit ribosomal RNA", at positions 1470 to 1796 of the family's 1831-position model. The record is from RNAcentral.
CCCCUAGAUGUUCUGGGCCGCACGCGCGCUACACUGAACAGUUCAACAAGUCUUAACCUUGGCCGAUAGGUCUGGGUAAUCUUUGAACGCUGUUCGUGAUUGGGAUAGACCUUUGCAAUUAUGGGUCUUCAACGAGGAAUUCCUAGUAAACGCAAGUCAUCAGCUUGCAUUGAUUACGUCCCUGCCCUUUGUACACACCGCCCGUCGCCCCUACCGAUUGAAUGGUCCGGUGAAAUCUCGGGACGGCGGCUUGGUCGCUUGCGUCCGACUGCUGAAACUUGAUUAAACCAUAUCAUUUAGAGGAAGGUGAANUCGUAACA